Rhineura floridana is the source of this 2128-nucleotide long non-coding RNA. RefSeq lists it as uncharacterized. NCBI's taxonomy places the organism in Eukaryota, Metazoa, Chordata, Lepidosauria, Squamata, Rhineuridae. The transcript has 4 exons. The record is from RefSeq and is a predicted model, not a curated record.
CAUGUCGGAGAGCUUGUGUUUGAGAAUUGUGUCUCUGGACAACCUCCCAAGCAGCUGCUUGAAAUAAAGCUAUCUACUCAAAGCAUCAAUUCUGUGUCUUGAGAGUGUUGGUGUAGAGGACCUCAAAGUAUUGAACUAAGCAGGGGCAUGCCCAGUUGGGCUCCUGCAACAAUUGGAGGUUCCACCGAGGUUCUGGGACAUUCCCAACUCCUGCCCAAGGAGGCCUAGGACGGAGGAACGGAGGCACGCCGACUAAAAAGCCGCUUAGAUUGCUGCGGUGAUAAGACCAGCGCCUUAAGGAGACGCCAAGCAUAUCUGCACUCUGCAGAAACAUGGACCAGGAAAGGGCUGAGUUGGCAAACACCACACCCACCACGCGAAACUUUGCGGUCAUCCAUCGGUUGUUAUGGCUCUGAAGUAGCAAGGACAACAUGACUGAUGCUCAAAAGUAAUUAACGAGAAUACCAAGACGCCCAAAAUGAAAUAGAAGACAAAAUGUACUUAUCUCUUAGUUCAAAAUGAAAGGGGAUGUUCUUGUAAUCCAGUCUAUGGGACUCCCAGCGGCCUGGGCUGUGGUUCCUGAGAUGCUAAUUAGUAUGAUCUAAGCCGGAUGCGUGCAAAGUUUGCACUUUCGGAGGGUGGAUCAAGCUGUCGAUGGUCUGAAAGAAAACAUAUAAAAGUCACUGCCCCAGAAGGUCUUCUUAACAGUGUCAUUCACCAACUCUUGUCUCCGGAAUAUCUGCUCUUCCUACUCUAGCCCCUUAGAUUGCUGUGGUGAUAAACCAUAAGAGGAGCGCCUUAAGGAGACGCCAAGUAUAUCUGCAGUCUGCAGAAACAUGGACCAGGAGAGGGCUGAGUUGGCAAACGCCACACACUCCACACGAAACUUUGCGGUCAUCCAGCAGUUGUUAUGGCUCUGAAGCAGGAAGGACCACACGAAUGAUGCUCAAAGGCAAUUGACGAGAACGCCAAGACGCCCAAAAUGAAAUAGAAGACAAAACGUACUUAUCUCUUAGUUCAAAAUCAAACGGAAUGUUCUUGGAACCCAAUCUAUGGGACUCCCAGAGACCUGGGCUGUGAUUACGCUAAUUACGCUAAUUAGUAUGAUCUAAGCCGGAUGCGUGCAAAGUUUGCACUUUCGGAGGGUGGAUCAAGCUGUCGAAGGUCUGAAAGAAAACAUAUAAAAGUCACUGCCCCAGAAGGUCUUCUUAACAGUGUCAUUCACCAACUCUUGUCUCCGGAAUAUCUGCUCUUCCUACUCUAGCUGCUUUCUGGACUGGAACGUCAUCUAUCAACUUUGGAGUGAUGGAUUCACAGCCACGGAUAAUAGUCCGUCCUAUUCCUGUUUUUGUUCAUCGCGUGUCUAUUGGAAUCCCCAAAGCGAUUUUGGAUGCUAUCAGACCCCCAUUCCUCCUGUGCAACAACCCUGCCCAGAAAUGUGAAGGGUUCUCAGGCCUUAGCUUUCCUUACGCUUUAUCUGAAAUUCAUUUCCAACCGCUGAUGCAACCAAACUCAUUUCUUUACAAUCCGAGCACAAGCUCACAUCUCCUCUAGUGACAGCUGUGCAGGAUGAGCUGACCCCUUCAUUGAAUGGGAACAUGAUCAUCACAGGAAUGGAAUGAAAUGGUACCCGAAUUGCACAAAAUGGAUUCACAGCUGAUGAUUGUAUGGGUGUUUGUGCCAGAAAUGUUGAGCCUCCCCAUCCAGAUAAACAAGAGUAGACUGGAUCUAUGAUUGCUCAUCACCUCUGACACCUACAACUGCCUGCUCAAAGCUUCAUUUAGGUUUCCCUCCAAUUCUCUUAGUUAUGGACCUUUUUUCUUCCUUUCUUUCAAGGCAACCUGAAGACACUUUGACCAAAAUGCAAGGGAUCCCAAAUUCACUUAUCAUUCUUUGAUGGAUCUCUGAAUAUUUCUCAGGUCUGCAAGGUUUAUGGUGCUUCCGCUUUCCUGAGAAGAUCUGUUUUUUCACUGUGUACCUAUGCCUUGUCUCAUUUUACUCCUCAUUCAUCUGUCAUUUCACUCUUCUGCACAAAAUGUAUUGUUCACCUGUUGAAGCUGCUCAUCAUAGAAAUGCUUUUGUGAACUCCUCUUCCCCCUGCAAUAAACCUCAUCUAUCUGCAUCAAAA